GGUGAACGCUGGCGGUGGGCCUAACACAUGCAAGUCGAACGGCCACACAAUGAGAGUUCUCUCUUACGGUUAGCGACUGGCGGACGGGUGAGACAUACAUCAGCUUCUACUUUUUCUUGGGGGACAACGUAGGGCAACUUCCGCUAAUACCUCAUAUAACCUACGGCUGAAAUCAGUAGUUCUUCACACUUUUGGCGUCUCUUUUAGCCGAUGUCGGAUUAGCUAGUUGGCUAGGUAAGGGCCCACCAAGGCAACGAUCCGUAGCUGGCCUGAGAGGAUGAUCAGCCACACUGGAACUGAGACACGGUCCAGACUCCUACGGGAGGCAGCAGUGGGGAAUAUUCGGCAAUGGGCGCAAGCCUGACCCAGCCACACCGCGUGAGUGAUGAAGGCCUUCGGAUCGUAAAGCCCUGUUAUUAGGAAAGAAAAGCAGUAGAAGUAUAUCUGGAUGUUCUGACGGUACCCAAAGAAUAAGCACCGGCUAACUUCGUG
Molecule: ribosomal RNA, 492 nt
Filed under: uncultured bacterium
Lineage: Bacteria
Description: partial 16S ribosomal RNA
Rfam family: Bacterial small subunit ribosomal RNA
Source: RNAcentral